This 301-nucleotide ribosomal RNA is filed under the name uncultured bacterium. Its description in RNAcentral is "partial 16S ribosomal RNA". It matches the Rfam family "Bacterial small subunit ribosomal RNA", at positions 509 to 807 of the family's 1533-position model. The record is from RNAcentral.
CAGUCGCCACGGUAAUACAGAGGAUGCAAGCGUUAUCCGGAAUGAUUGGGCGUAAAGCGCGCGUAGGUGGUUUGUUAAGUUGGAUGUGAAAGCCCCGGGCUCAACCUGGGAACUGCAUCCAAAACUGGCAAGCUAGAGUACGGUAGAGGGUGGUGGAAUUUCCUGUGUAGCGGUGAAAUGCGUAGAUAUAGGAAGGAACACCAGUGGCGAAGGCGACCACCUGGACUGAUACUGACACUGAGGUGCGAAAGCGUGGGGAGCAAACAGGAUUAGAUACCCGAGUAGUCCCUGUCUCUUAUAC